GGGUCGUUAGCUCAGUUGGUAGAGCAGUUGACUUUUAAUCAAUUGGUCGAAGGUUCGAAUCCUGCACGACCCACCA
RNAcentral lists this transfer RNA (76 nucleotides) under Klebsiella aerogenes. RNAcentral's name for it is "tRNA-Lys". It matches the Rfam family "tRNA". From Rfam's summary of the family: Transfer RNA (tRNA) molecules are approximately 80 nucleotides in length. Their secondary structure includes four short double-helical elements and three loops (D, anti-codon, and T loops). Further hydrogen bonds mediate the characteristic L-shaped molecular structure. tRNAs have two regions of fundamental functional importance: the anti-codon, which is responsible for specific mRNA codon recognition, and the 3' end, to which the tRNAs corresponding amino acid is attached (by aminoacyl-tRNA synthetases). tRNAs cope with the degeneracy of the genetic code in two manners: having more than one tRNA (with a specific anti-codon) for a particular amino acid; and 'wobble' base-pairing, i.e. permitting non-standard base-pairing at the 3rd anti-codon position. Lineage: Bacteria; Pseudomonadati; Pseudomonadota; Gammaproteobacteria; Enterobacterales; Enterobacteriaceae. RNAcentral also lists the same sequence under 3 other names. The record is from RNAcentral.